Molecule: non-coding RNA, 127 nt
Organism: Zostera marina
Lineage: Eukaryota; Viridiplantae; Streptophyta; Magnoliopsida; Alismatales; Zosteraceae
Source: Rfam
GGGUACGAUCAUACCAGCACUAAAGCACCGGAUCCCAUCAGAACUCCGCAGUUAAGCAUGCUUGGGUGAGAGUAGUAAUGGGAUGGGUGACCUCCUGGGAAGUCCUCGACUCCUCGUGUUGCAUCCC